CUCAGAAAUAACUAUUCAUUCCCAUUCGUCACUGUCUUCAUGUCAACAGGCAGCGAUUACAUCAUAGAUGAGACUAACAUGACUUGGAGCGACUCAAAGACCAACUGUGAAAGACGUAAUUCAACUCUGGCCAAAAUCCUUGACAGGAAAACUAAUUCUAAAAUCCAGAAACUGCUGCCACAAGGUUCUGAAGUGUGGCUAGGCCUCAAAAAGCCUAUUCUGUGGUACUGGACCACAACUAAUGAAAUCCCUACAUUCAUAAACUGGCAGCCCGGACAACCUGACAUGCAGACUGACGCAAUUAAAUGUGUAGCCAUGGAUCUGAAGGAUGGAACCUGGACAGAUGAGUUCUGCAAUUUGAUGUAUCCUUUCUUCUGCCAUGGAAGUAUGAAUGAGUGAAAUCAGACGUACUGAAGAUUCUGUGCUUCUUCCUUUUUGUUCUGCUAAACAAAGGUUGCUCACGCUAACUACAGAUCAGGGAAAGGUCGACACACUUGAAGGCUCCAAAUAACUAAUUUAAUUUAUGUUGACAGCAUUCUCCUCAAAAACAACAUUUCGAUGGAUAAGAUCUUCCUCAGGAAGUACUACAGAGAAAAAGAGGUGUUCACCUGUGGUUUCUGGAGUGCUGUGCAGGCCAUCUUGUGGCGUUAUGUUUGUUUCUUGUUAUGUGCUGACCAGCAGGUGAUAAUUAUUACCCGCCUCUCUCUCUCUCUUUGAGGAAGAUUUUUUUAGAUCCUAUUUAGAGCCUAAAAUUGUGCAGACAUUUUUCUGACCUAUAGAUACAUUUUUUGUCUUUCACAUUUAAAGUGUUAGGUUGAAUGUGUCCACAACUCAUGCUAAAUAUCAAUCGCUGAAACAUACGGCUGGCCCAAAUUAUGGCUGCAAUUAGUUUCUUUAUCAGUUAAUCUGCACACUGUUUUCUUAUUUAGUUUACAUAGCAAAUAGCUAGAAACCAGGGGAAACUGAUGCAAUCCUGUAAACCUCAAAGUGACCAAUGAUCACAAAUCACAAGAUACUGAAUUUAUUUCCACAUAAGACUAUGACUGGCAGUAAAUCUUCACAGAUGACAAGCUGGAACUGACAAGUAUUUAGAUAUUCAAAAUUUCUAAAUUAUUUCAGUGAAAACUAGCUACUUGGUGGUUAGCACUGCAUUUAGUUUGCAUGUUCUCCCUGUGCAUGCGUGGGUUUUCUCCUCCCACAGUCCAAAAACAUGGUGUAGUUAACUGAUAAUUCUAAAAUUGCCCAUAGGUGUGGAUGCCAGCGUGCUUGUUUGUCUCUAUAUGUAGCCCUGUGAUAGACUGGUGACCUGUCCAGGGUGUCCCCCCAAUACUUUCUUUCUUUCUUUCUUUAAUAAAACAUCAUCAUGACCAUGCAUUUAUCAGAUUUCUUGUGAGUUUUAGUCUGAAAGGUUUACCCUUUUUUGUGAUCCUGUGUAGUUUAUAAAGCUCAGAAAACAGUGGUGAAGAUGAAGCUCCAGUCCACAGCAAACCUGGAAGAUCCAGUCAUCAGUGAUAACCUACAGAAGCAGGUACAGUGUGUGAGAGAGAAAACAAAAAUCAUGAACAAAUUUGACUCUUUGACUUCAUCUUUCUCCUUUAGUUGCAUGCAGCACUUGCUAAGCAGAGUGUGAGUGACUUCCAGCUGACCUGGAAGAAAGUGCCGGUGAAGCAGAAAGAGGAGAUGGCGAGUGAAGAUAACUGCUGACUCCGUGAGCACAAGAAAGCUGCACCACAGCAUUGUUUGUAGAAAUAUGCUUUACUAAAUGUCCAUCCAUCCAUCCAUCCAUUAUCUAUACACCGCUUAAUCCUCACUAGGGUCGCGGGGGGGGCUGGAGCCUGCUUUACUAAAUGUUGUUCAGUAAAUUUCUGUGUGAUUCUAUUUCGCUCCUUUAAGACUCAAAGCUUGUAUGGCACUGAACUGAAAGAAAUUCAGCCUCAGCAUAUAAAUGUUUUACUUAAUGUGUGAUUUGUGUGGACAAAGUUUGCAGCGUAUCUCAUUUAAAUAUUUAAUUAGUUUCCACAUAAUGGCAGAACGUUUGACACACUGUGAGUGACUUCCAGAUAAUAUUGUGUGAUACAAUGACUUAAGUUACACAGACAUAUUAUGUUCCAUUUAGUGUUUCCAUUAUUACUGUGUGCUGCUUUCAUUACUUCUAUUUUUUCAUCUUUGCUGUACAUCCUCAUAAUGUUGUAUUAUAAAUCAGUCAGUAACUACUUUAAAAAAGAAUAGUUUAAGGGUGCAUCUGGUAAUAUUCAAUAUUUUUCUUACUGUAAACAGAUCUCAUAAAAAGACUCUUCUGCUAACUGAACACGUACAGUCUGUGUCGUCAAAGCUUUACAUGUCUCAUUCAAAACUGUAAUCCACACUAAAUAUCCAAACUAUUUACAGAUAUUUUCUUCACUAUCAUUGUAGUUAUUCUAACUCUAUCUCAAAUACACUGUGCCGUAGCCUAAACACUUUCUAGAAAUGAAAUGUGUAUUAAUCCAUGGUUCAAAAUAGUACCCAACAGAUGCACCAUCUCUGUUUGAGUAACAUUUGCUAUUAAAAAAAUCACACUCAACAGCUGUUUCAGAAGAAUAAACCUAUGUAUCAGUAAAUGGCUUUCCCAUAUGUACAAAAUAAAAUUUUGUUUUUGCUGA
Amphiprion ocellaris (clown anemonefish) is the source of this 2639-nucleotide long non-coding RNA. RefSeq lists it as uncharacterized. NCBI's taxonomy places the organism in Eukaryota, Metazoa, Chordata, Actinopteri, Pomacentridae. The record is from RefSeq and is a predicted model, not a curated record. The transcript has 2 exons.